GUGGGGUGAGGGGCGUGCCGCGAGAAAUGUAGAGCAGAAAAUGAAAGCCGUCGAUGUGGAAACAAAAAAAUCUAGAUAAAUGGACGAAUAGAUAAAUGGACACGGAUCGACAACCGGAUAAGCAGAUAAACAACUGGAUAAACGUUCGUUUUUUGCUGUCUCGAUAACACAAAAUGAAGGAGACGCAAGGGCAGAAAUAGGGAAGAAUAGCAGCGAGAGAAUGAGGAAGAAAUUGUCGAGAGGAGAGUACUGCUAAUAUCCUGGGGGCGGUCGUGGGAUAGGGUGCACCUGCGCGUAUGACAGAUACGCCCCUGGCAUAAAGGCGACAUUUAGGUCACCGGCUUUUACCGCGGCAGACUGCACAUGCAGACCGGCCUUGCCAAUGAUCGUUUUCACUACUAGCAACGUUGCUCUCGGUUGCAAAGAAAUUUUACCGCCUGUUUAUUAUUACUGCUGCAAAAUUAAUCUUUCAGAUACAAACUAUACAUCGUUUCUCCAAAUAUUUCACUGAACCGUUUCUCAUAAGCAGUUGGUCAUUGCGUUCCACGAUACAUUGAUCUAACAUACUUAUUAUAAAUAUAAAAAUUUAUAAAUGCACUUUCAAAAGUCAACCUUAGAAUUAGGGCAACGACUCAGGGGUUAAAGAACUAACAUUCGUGCUCGGUCAUAGUAAAAUCGUUAACAACGUCGAUUGCUUCAUUAUUACGUAAAAAGAAUGUUAUCGAGGGUAAAUAGCAUGAAAUUAUAAAGCCAAUCGAUUGCCUCUAACUCUAAUAUGCACAGCCAGACCAUGUAACACUCGUGCACAUGUAAUGCACAGCACUUUGAGCACAGUAAAUGUGGCUGGAAAACUCCCCAUCCAUCAGAAUAUGUACAGAGGGGUUGGUCGUUGUACGUAUUUAACCAUUGAAUGGCAUAGUUUAAUUAUAGAGCACUUUACCGUGGAAUCACAAAAGGAUAAAUCUUAUAAAGAUCGUUCAUCAAUGGUUACUUUUCGUUGACAGCUUGAAUAAUGUAUCCCAACGAGGUAAACAAGGGACGGGUAAAUGUGUACACAACCUUUAAUAUGCAAAACCAGUUCUUUCACAGAAUAUUAGAAUCGGUAUGACCUAAAAAAUUAAUCGUUUCUGUUUGAUGAUUCUCUUAAUGAUUAUACAUUAGUAAGGAAAUAGGAAGGAUCCCUCUUUGCUGAUAAAACGUGUUCCUUUUCCAAAUCUUUCUCUUUGAGCUCGUAAGCUCUCAGACUCUAAUCCUCUGGUACUUUUUGAGUUCUGAAGGUUUCUCUGAGGCUUUCAAUCGAAGACAAAUGCUGGAAGGUUCCUAAAGAAGCUUAACACCAAAGUCGUUGUCACAACUAUGCCGUUAUCCAGGGAUGAGUUUACCGAGCGACAAUAAUUUGACAACCGCGCGAACGUGGCGCAGUGCAUAACAAGAGGAAAAUUAUCGUCCCGACGCCAAUUUCGAUCCUGACAAGGCUUGCAGUGUAUUCCAGAUCCCUAAGCUGAAGACACUUCCGCAGGGUAACGACUGUUCUAUCUAUGCGCCAGUUCGCCGUGCGAGUUACCACCUCAAACAGCGUAACUCGUCAAAUGAACAUAACCAGUUCCUGGCAACAGGAUAUCGGCGAUUUCUUCAAUUGCGUACUCUUCCGCGGAAACUUCCGGGGAAAAAGUCUGACGUCUUAACGAUAGAGAUCACCGUUAAACACACCCCUGUUUCGGAGUACGAGUGAUCGACCGCUGUAUGGUGUUAUCGAUUAUCCGUCCAUCUCCCAGCGAAGCGAAUUUCGAUAUCUGAAAUGUCUCCCUGACGAGCGUUGAAAAAUGAACUCCAAAGGAUGGAAAUAGCUCGCAAAAUCGACGGUAUUAAGUUUUGGGAUGUAACAGUAUGGAAGAUAUCUUACAUGUCUCAGAGAUUUUACAACCUUAAAAAUAGCUGCUGAAGUAUGGAAUAUUGUAUGGUUGGAUUUGAAUGUGUUGAGGCCCAUGAUUAUGCAUGGAGAUGCAGAAAAACUUUCAUAGACUUUGGAACAUUGCAGCCAUCUUGUUAACGGCCAUCUUGUAAAUACAAGACAGAGUAUAUGAAGAAAAGAGGAAUAUAAAAUUGAAGAGAAGAAUAAAAUUAAGAUAUGUAAUAUAGUAACACGACUUAAAAAGUAAAGUUAAAUGAUUUGAAGAGGAAUUGUGAUCUACCUAAAUGUAGAUAAAACAGUAAGACUUGCAACGUCAAAUACAGACUUGAACAUUAUGGCCAUUUUGUCUACGGCCAUCUUGUAAAACAUGUAAGCAUCAAGUAAUAAGAUACGAAGAAAAGAAUGUUUCGCAUGAAGAGAGGAAUAAAAUUAAGAUACGUAAUAUAGAAAAACGAUUUAAAAAGUAAAGUUAAAUGAUUUGAAGAGGAAUUUCGAUCCACUUAAAUAUAAAUAGAACCGUAAGACUUGCAGUGUCAAAUACAGACUUGAAUAUUAUGUCCAUCUUGUUUACAGCCAUCUGGUAAAACAUGGAAGCAUUAAGUAAUAAGAUACGAAGAAAAGAUUGUUUCGUUUGAAGAGAGGAAUGAAAUUAAGAUACGUAAUAUAGAAAAACGAUUUAAAAAGUAAAGUUAAAUGAUUUGAAGAGGAAUUUCGAUCCACUUAAAUGUAAAUAGAACAGUAAGUCUUGGAGCGUCAAACGCAGACUUGAUUGAACGUACACAGGAAAAAAGAAGCGUAAUCACCGAAGCUGGAAUAUUCAAAGCGUCAAACGACCGAAAUAUUUUCACCGGAGAGGAAAUAUUCCGUGGAAAGUCGAACAUGGCGUUCGCGGGAAGGCGUGCACGCACCCAGUGUUUAACAAGGGGGGAGAAGGCAUAUCGGAAAAUGUCGACACGAUAGAAAAGAGAGUAUCUCGGAUAAUGGAGUGGGUGUAUAUCAGUCUUUGCGAUAAGUUAUUGCUGAAUCAGUCGUUGUCGUUCCAUAGCGGAAGCAAUCCCGCCAAAAUAAAGGCAAAAGCAUCGUCUGCAAACUCCUAGAACGUCGAUUUAUCAUUUCUUUUUGUUCGGUCUGUUAAAAAAUAGCGAGUAAUUUCUAUCGGACUCCCAGUUUCUUUCCUUGCGUUUUAUUACUUUCAACGUGCCGUUGAUAUUUUCGUUCGAUGGUCGAUCAGGAUCGCAUUGAAAAAAAGAAAAAAAUCGUUCCCGCGAGAAUCUAUGCCUCUGGUAGCGACAUGAAUAAAAAAUCAGACCCGGAAUUCGAACGACGAACCGCAGAGUCGAUUCAUUAUAAAUAAAGAACGAGGCAAACAAAAAACCGUCGGUGUUUUUUUUCCCCGCUGACCCUCUACGGACAAAUUAACAAAUUAACGAACGUUCGCUCCAAAGCGGGUCACUUUCAAUCAACAGUGUCGCUAUCCGUCUCGUUCUUUCUUUGUCCUUCCCGUUUUAAACGUCAGAAACAAGUGCGCCGUUUUUCCAAUUCGCCAUAAAUUGUAAAAAGCUUUCGUGCGGGGCAGAAGGGACAGAAUUACCCGGCCUUUUUUGUCAAUGCUCUCGUACGGUAUUAUUCAGGGCCUUUUCAAAAGGGCCGGCCAAAUCGCAAUGAUAAAUUCGAAGCGUAACGCGAAUAAUCGUUCGUACGAACAAAAAGCGCAUCGAGACAAAAGAGUGAAAAGGGAGAGGGUGAAAAAAAAAUCGCGAUAGCUCCUCCUCCAUCGGUUCCGGGACGUUUAAUUCGCGAAGAGGGCCGCUACGGGGAGGCUGCUAGCUAGCAAAUUAAUGCGAAAAUUUAAUGCAGCUGUCACGUGUCCGGCCGUUACUAAAUCUACGUAUAACGUCAUUAAAUUCGGGAAAUCGCCGCUGCCUGACUACACGCGUUUUGUUUCGUACGUCGCACGUAUUGUGACCCGUUUCGCUAAUUGUAAUAAUUUUCUUGCUCCAAGCGCCGUUUCAAAUAUUCCACUCGUUUCAGAACUCUCUGUUUCAGAUCUCACGCCGGUCUUUCUUCACCUUUUCUGGAUUCUUCAGAAUACUCCCUAGAGUCACUGCAGGUGCAAGACUUCAGUCACUGCAAUUUAUUUGGACAUUUGACCAUCACGGUUGCAGGCAGCUCCAUUGUACAGAGUUCAUAAAAUAGGAAUUAAAGCGAUCGAACGUACACGUAGUACACGUAGAAUGUGUACGUAGAUAGUUUGUGACCGUGCGUGUUAACAACCGACACACAGCCACAAAAUGGCGUUUUUCUGCACAAUCGAUUGUCUACGGUAGCCAAUAUCCCUUGUUUCUGCUCGCAUUGUUGCACAUUGGAAAGCGCUGUUUAGAAACAACAGUUCGAACAACAGUUGUCGAGACUAAAUGAAGUAAAAAAAACAAUGAAGAUUACUCGCCUUAAUCAAGCUUGCUGUACAAGAUGGUAAUAGCGCAUCGCUGGGGAAGCUGCGAGAUAUAUUUGUCUCUCCCGGUAAUUCGCGAGGCUGCAGAAACUUUGAAAUUAUUUAAUUAGAAAUUCUUGUUGCAGGGAAUUUUACACGUAACGUAAGUACGGAAACUAAAUAUGUACCUUGCGUUAAGCGGUUGUGGAUUUGAACACUUCAAAUCCCACCCAGCCUCCUCCAAAGAAUUCGAACACCUCUCGCCGUUAUACCGCCAUGUGCAAUUAAAAACUUUGCCUCGUGUAUCGCUUGUAGCACAUUUUCACGACUUUCGUUAAAACGGAAUAGUUUGCGACGCUUGCCUGUAUUAUACUCACUAGUGUCUGAGGGGAGGUGAUUCUGAACAAGAUUUCUCUUUGCAGAAAUGUGGUUCGAAGCUUCGUUCUUGAAUUAUUACGGAAAGACAAUCGGAUGCGCGCGCAGGCGCGAGGCGACGGCUUCCAACAUGGCGGCGGAGCGCGCGCAAUCAGAGCGCUCUGAUUGGCCGGUGUUUUUCCUUAAUAAUUCAAAAACGAAGCUACGGGGCACAUUCUUGCAAAGGGAAAUCUUGUUCAGAAUUAACUCCUCUUCAUUUUAGGAACGUUAGUUGUGAGAUAUCUUGUAUAAGAGUGCAAUUUUCGAUACAGAAAGAUCGUCAUAAUAUAAAAUAAUCAAUCGUUACUUUCAAAGGAUAUAGAAUAUUUAUUUGUAUUUUAUUUAAACAAAAUUGCACUGUCAUUAGUCUCAUCCAGCUAUAUCCUUUGAGAAGUACACACUUUGUAGAAUAGAAUGUAUGUACAUCCACCCGUUCGAAUUUCAGACGAGUUGGAUAUUGGUGGCCAGACAAUUACGCGAAAAGGUACAUAAUUCCGCAUAAGAGGAAAAGCCACAGAUCUGGCAGCUUUCUUAUUUAUUACAUGGCCGCCGGAAAACGAGGAAGUUAAAUUGGCCGAUUUCCGCAGGAAAUUAUAUUAGCGAUCUGAUGUACGGUCUCUCGUUUUACUUUUACAUUCCAAUUCCAUUCUCGCUUCGGCAUAAUUGUAAUAAUGUCCCCUGGAGAACGCGUUCCAGUUGCGAGCGUGUAAUUAUAUUUCAACGAUUGAAAUUCGGGUUGAAAGACCUUGCCAAAGAUUGGGGAUGAAACUUGACAGUGAAAUAUUUGGAAAAUUCGUGUUUUAGAUGCGUCAUUUUGGGCAACUCUGUUUCCAUCGUCGGCAAUGUACACACGUCCUUGCGGCACGCUCGGUUUACUCUGGAUCGAGGAAAGGCAAAACAUCGUGAGAGGAUACAUAUGUUCCGUGCAAGCCGGUAAUCGAUCAUGGAGAUCGUAAAAAGUACUCGGACGUGUCUGCGCCAUCGGUCUCCGAGUGUCAAACGAGAAUUAAUAGUUCGCUCGAGUAAUGUACAAUGUACGGGGCCUGGUACACGAUGAAUAAAGAUGAGAAUCGCUUCAUCGGCGCUGGGAAAAGAAACAGAAACCAGAAGGAAGGGGGUCGAAGACGCGUCGGCCGACAAAAGCUGGAGAAAAAGAGAUUAAUAAGUUGGCUCACACGAGAGGGUGAUUUAGCCUGACAUUUUUGAAAUUCUAAUUUCGUUGAAAGCACCUUCGAAGAGGAUUUUCAUUUUUCCCUAUCCGUAAUCUUCCUUUUUUCCUGGAAAUAAAUAAACGCUUUGACGAGGUCGAGGUCGCUAAAAAGAUUAAUGAGAUCGUUUCCGGGACUUCAAUUUUAUUAAAGGUUCAAAGGGAAUCCCUCGGAGGAAAAAAGCGUGUAUCUUAAAAUUGUUAGCUUUGUUCCUCGUUAUCCGACACAUCGAACGAUUUAGAUAUUCUUUAAUGAGCCAUCAUUUGAACAUCUGUACACUUUACUCCGGAGAAUACGCGAAUUCCGUAAACUGGAAAUCGGGAUAAUAACGGGGGAUGUUUCCCGUUCGAUUGAAGAGGAACUUAAGAUACAGCGUCGAUACAGAGGGCGCCCGCGGCGAACCGUGAAGUUCCCAACAAUUCCUAUUUUAUCCUCUUCGGAUUCCACCGUGUCGCCUUUUCUUUUCCAUCCGGACGCACUGUGUGUACGUAAUUCCCGUAGUCGCGAUACCUCCUUUGUUCCUGUUCACGUAUCCUGGCUGGCGAACGCGCCACAAAGCUACCUUUAGCUUUGAUCGCGACGUACUCUAGUUCGGUAACUUCCAACCUUCUUCCUCGUUUUUCGAACGAAUAUUGUUCGACCGGACUUUGAGGUCUUGCAACCUGUCUAACUUUCGCUAAUUUUAUACACGGAAUCUUAGUUCUAACUUUGACGCAUUCGUUACAUGCAAUUACCUUUGAAACAGAUUUUCAUCCCCUUACUGAGCCAUCAAUUUUAAGCGUUGAAAUGGUCAUACACAAAGAAUAUUAAAAAAUGAACCAAUAACAGUAUAAGAAUUAAUAAGCUAGUCUUAAGUACAUCCAAGGAUCUCAGUUGUCCAUUAUACAAAGCCGGUCGAAAAAGUUGAUGGAAAAGGAAGAAACAGGGAAGGACAAAAAAAUAAGAAAGUUUCCAUCUCGCACGAACAUACCCAGCGAAGAUUUACGCCUGGUCUGUAAUUUAAUACAGGAUACUUUGCCGGAGUUCCUUCGAGAGUUACCUGUUCGCGGGGCGUGCGCGCGCACGGAGCUCGCGGAACGUGAGCGGACUUUGUGUCUGGCAUAUCGUAAGAAAAGAAAUAAAACGGAAAGAGCGAGGAAAGCGUGACGAAGGGUGGAGGAGCCAGGAAGCAAAGCCAGCUUGUGCAGUUCGCGGUAUCGUUAUUCACUGGCCGGCUCGAACAUCUAAUUACGAUGAAGAGGCUGUCCACGUACUGCUCGAUGAAAAAUUCAAUAUGAAACUGUAAUCGAGAGGAUUCUUCUUUUAUCACCCAUUCACGCCUCUUCUUUUUAUCUAUAACUGAACUGGUAACGCACUUGGUCUUCUUUGAUGGUGUUCUUUGACUGAAUUUCUUCUUACAUUGUUUUUUUGUAUGACAUUAUUUUUAUGGGGUCCAAAUGAAUGCAUAUGAAUGUUGUUCUUUGACUGAAUUUCUUCUGACAAUGUUUUCUCAUAUGAUAUUAUUUUUGCAGGGUCCAAACGAAUGCAGAGAAUUAGUCUGAUGAAGAUAAUGGUUCACUGAAGAUGAAGACUGAGUCAUGAAUAUUGGAGACAACUGAUAUUGAACACCUGGAUAACUGCAUUUGUUCAUGGGACAAAAAGUCAGAGCCCACACAAGGACCAUAUUAAGAAACCAGAUCAUAAUGUCCUCUAACUCUGCAAGGUCUAUCAGCAAGAUCCUAAAAGUUCAUUGAAAAGAUCAUAAGUCAUCUUCUCACUCUACCCACAAUUGAUGAAUUAAAUUUUGGAAAGUCAGAUUAGGAUUAAAGUGCACUUCGCCGCAAACCCAGUCUGGACACAGCAAGCUUCUCAUCCGAAAAGUUCUGUACAACAGUUCCGUCACGUUGCAUCCGGUGACGGCAAUAAUUCGGGAAGCAUCGGAAACGUCUAAAUCGCGUAUCCAGCCGAAACGGUCAGGUUGUUGUGGGAAUUCGGCCGGUCGAUUGGGCGAUUAUACAUGCGAUAAUAGAGCGUCGCAUAGCUACGAGAUCCGUUGUGUACCGAACAGUUUCGAGACGUGUCCAGCAGGAGCCUCCGCCACACUUCAGGAUUUGACGACACGUGUAGUCUGACUGCGUGCAUAUGUAGAAUUAACGAUAUUAAUACCUUAGUGACUGUCAAACUAGUUGGCUGUAUUUUUGAAGAAUUAAUUUAAGGAAACUUGAUGAGCUUGUUGUAUGAGCAGCCAGGUGUUAAUGAUCUCGUCUGAGCAGCCAGAGGUUAAUAUACAUAUGGAAGUCAUAGAAAAUUGUUAGCUUCAUGUCUUGCUGAUGUGAUUGAACUUGUUGAAAUGAUGAUGUCAAUGAUCUUGUCUGAGCAGCCAGAGGUUAAUAUACAUAUAGAAGUCAUAGAAAAUUGUUAGCUUCAUGUCUUGCUGAUGUGAUUAAACUUGCUGAAAUGAUGAUGUCAAUGGUCUUGUCUGAGCAGCCAGAGGUUAAUAUACAUAUGGAAGUCAUAGACGUCAUAGAAAAUUGUUAGCUUCAUCUCUUGCUGAUGUGAUUGAACUUGCUGAAAUGAUGAUGUCAAUGGUCUUGUCUGAGCAGCCAGAGGUUAAUAUACAUAUGGAAGUCACAGACGUCAUAGAAAAUUGUUAGCUUCAUCCCUUGCUGAUGUGAUUAAACUUGCUGAAAUGAUGAUGUCAAUGAUCUUGUCUGAGCAGCCAGAGGUUAAUAUACAUAUGGAAGUCAUAGAAAAUUGUUAGCUUCAUGUCUUGCUGAUGUGAUUAAACUUGCUGAAAUGAUGAUGUCAAUGAUCUUGUCUGAGCAGCCAGAGGUUAAUAUACAUAUGGAAGUCAUAGAAGACUUAGAAAAUUGUUAGCUUCAUCCCUUGCUGAUGUGAUUGAACUUGCUGAAAUGAUGAUGUCAAUGAUCUUGUCUGAGCAGCCAGAG
This is a long non-coding RNA of Megachile rotundata (alfalfa leafcutting bee), 8892 nucleotides long. NCBI's taxonomy places the organism in Eukaryota, Metazoa, Arthropoda, Insecta, Hymenoptera, Megachilidae. The record is from RefSeq and is a predicted model, not a curated record.